CCGGGUUUAGCGAAGUUUGGUAUCGCGCUUGGUUUGGGACCAAGAGACCGUGGGUUCGAAUCCCGCAACCCGGACCA
Molecule: transfer RNA, 77 nt
Filed under: Oscillospiraceae bacterium
Lineage: Bacteria; Bacillati; Bacillota; Clostridia; Eubacteriales; Oscillospiraceae
Description: tRNA-Pro
Rfam family: tRNA
About the family: Transfer RNA (tRNA) molecules are approximately 80 nucleotides in length.
Source: RNAcentral